Molecule: ribosomal RNA, 480 nt
Filed under: Aspergillus flavus
Lineage: Eukaryota; Fungi; Ascomycota; Eurotiomycetes; Eurotiales; Aspergillaceae
Description: eukaryotic LSU rRNA
Rfam family: 5.8S ribosomal RNA (bases 165-318)
Source: RNAcentral
CUAGCGAGCCACCUCCACCCGUGUUUACUGUACCUUAGUUGCUUCGGCGGGCCCGCCAUUCGUGGCCGCCGGGGGCUCUCAGCCCCGGGCCCGCGCCCGCCGGAGACACCACGAACUCUGUCUGAUCUAGUGAAGUCUGAGUUGAUUGUAUCGCAAUCAGUUAAAACUUUCAACAAUGGAUCUCUUGGUUCCGGCAUCGAUGAAGAACGCAGCGAAAUGCGAUAACUAGUGUGAAUUGCAGAAUUCCGUGAAUCAUCGAGUCUUUGAACGCACAUUGCGCCCCCUGGUAUUCCGGGGGGCAUGCCUGUCCGAGCGUCAUUGCUGCCCAUCAAGCACGGCUUGUGUGUUGGGUCGUCGUCCCCUCUCCGGGGGGGACGGGCCCCAAAGGCAGCGGCGGCACCGCGUCCGAUCCUCGAGCGUAUGGGGCUUUGUCACCCGCUCUGUAGGCCCGGCCGGCGCUUGCCGAACGCAAAUCAAUCU